This 497-nucleotide ribosomal RNA is filed under the name uncultured bacterium. Its description in RNAcentral is "partial 16S ribosomal RNA". It matches the Rfam family "Bacterial small subunit ribosomal RNA", at positions 28 to 507 of the family's 1533-position model. The record is from RNAcentral.
GAUGAACGCUGGCGGCGUGCCUAAUACAUGCAAGUCGAGCGAACAGAUGAGGAGCUUGCUCCUCUGACGUUAGCGGCGGACGGGUGAGUAACACGUGGAUAACCUACCUAUAAGACUGGGAUAACUUCGGGAAACCGGAGCUAAUACCGGAUAAUAUAUUGAACCGCAUGGUUCAAUAGUGAAAGACGGUUUUGCUGUCACUUAUAGAUGGAUCCGCGCCGCAUUAGCUAGUUGGUAAGGUAACGGCUUACCAAGGCAACGAUGCGUAGCCGACCUGAGAGGGGGAGCGGCCACACUGGAACUGAGACACGGUCCAGACUCCUACGGGAGGCAGGAGUAGGGAAUCUUCCGCAAUGGGCGAAAGCCUGACGGAGCAACGCCGCGUGAGUGAUGAAGGUCUUCGGAUCGUAAAACUCUGUUAUUAGGGAAGAACAAAUGUGUAAGUAACUAUGCACGUCUUGACGGUACCGAAUCAGAAAGCCACGGCUAACUACGUG